Molecule: ribosomal RNA, 250 nt
Filed under: uncultured bacterium
Lineage: Bacteria
Description: partial 16S ribosomal RNA
Rfam family: Bacterial small subunit ribosomal RNA
Source: RNAcentral
GAUGAACGCUGGCGGCGUGCCUAAUACAUGCAAGUCGAACGCUGGAAAUCUAGCUUGCUAGAUUGAAGGAGUGGCGAACGGGUGAGUAAUACAUAAGCAACCUACCCACGAAGACUGGGAUAAUCUCUGGAAACGGGGACUAAUACCGGAUAGGUAAUCGGAAGGCAUCUUCUGAUUAUUAAAGGUUAAAAACACUGGUGGAUGGGCUUAUGGCGCAUUAGUUAGUUGGUGAGGUAACGGCCCACCAAGA